AACCUCCGCAAUGUGAGAAAUCGCGACGGGGGGAUCCCAAGUGCCAUUCUUAACGGGAUGGCUUUUCAUUAGUGUAAAAAGCUUUUGGAAUAAGGGCUGGACAAGACCGGUGCCAGCCGCCGCGGUAACACCGGCAGCUCUAGUGGUAGCCAUUUUUAUUGGGCCUAAAGCGUUCGUAGCCGGUUUGAUAAGUCUCUGGUGAAAUCCUGUAGCUUAACUGUGGGAAUUGCUGGAGAUACUAUUAGACUUGAGGUCGGGAGAGGUUAGCGGUACUCCCAGGGUAGGGGUGAAAUCCUGUAAUCCUGGGAGGACCACCUGUGGCGAAGGCGGCUAACUGGAACGAACCUGACGGUGAGGGACGAAAGCCAGGGGCGCGAACCGGAUUAGAUACCCGGGUAGUCCUGGCCGUAAACGAUGUGGACUUGGUGUUGGGAUGGCUUCGAGCUGUUUCAGUGCCGAAGGGAAGCUGUUAAGUCCACCGCCUGGGAAGUACGGUCGCAAGACUGAAACUUAAAGGAAUU
RNAcentral lists this ribosomal RNA (521 nucleotides) under uncultured bacterium. RNAcentral's name for it is "bacterial SSU rRNA". It matches the Rfam family "Archaeal small subunit ribosomal RNA", at positions 345 to 866 of the family's 1478-position model. The record is from RNAcentral.